Long non-coding RNA from Bombina bombina (fire-bellied toad), 720 nucleotides. RefSeq lists it as uncharacterized. The transcript has 2 exons. NCBI's taxonomy places the organism in Eukaryota, Metazoa, Chordata, Amphibia, Anura, Bombinatoridae. The record is from RefSeq and is a predicted model, not a curated record.
UCAGAACCUCCCGUACUGCCAGCUGUCCCGGCACAGACACAGCUUACAGAAGGUUCCCACUUCAUGUGUGUAUAGGCAUCGCGCUGUGUGUAAUGUGAGGAGAAACGUCAUCCGAUGCCAGAGAGGUUACUGUACAGCUUUUUCUAACCAAAUCUGAAAUCACACAACACAGUUUUCAAGAUUUACUUCUGAGAACCGCUUGCUGCUAUGUUUUCCUUGCACAUGAUGGUAUUUGAAUAGCCAAAAUUUGAGUUUUCCUUGCUUAGCAAAUGAGAAGUUUACUUUGCUCACAAACAUUUAUUUUUGUGUUUUAUUUUUUAUCAUUCAGGUUUUCUUGACUGUUUCAAUAUGCCACGUCUAAAACACUACACUUAAUUUGUAUAAAAUAUAUAUAUAUAUUUAUAUUUAACUGUGCCAUUUAUCAUGGAAUAUUUUACUUCUGCUGGUUUUAUUUUUCAUUCAGUUUGCGGUUUUAUCAUUUACUGCCACAUAAAUGUUUAUGCGUUUUGUUUAAGGAAUAGAUCAUUAUUAAAUAAUUAAUCUUUUAUCUUGUUCCAAGGGGCGGGUUUGUACAGCAAUAAGUGGGAUCUGGUAUUUUAGUGUACAGAUGUAAUUAUGUUAUACAAUGUGCACAUCUAAUGUAAGUAUUACAUAGACUUACAAAUGUUCAUAUCUCAUUUCUUUUAUAACAUGCCAAAUAAAUGUUGAUGUUACUAAAAA